Molecule: ribosomal RNA, 253 nt
Filed under: uncultured bacterium
Lineage: Bacteria
Description: partial 16S ribosomal RNA
Rfam family: Bacterial small subunit ribosomal RNA
Source: RNAcentral
UACGUAGGGGGCAAGCGUUGUCCGGAAUCAUUGGGCGUAAAGAGCGUGUAGGCGGUUAUGCAGGUCCGCUGUGAAAACUGGAGGCUUAACCUCCAGACGUCGGUGGAAACCGUAUGACUAGAGUCCGGAAGAGGAGAGUGGAAUUCCUGGUGUAGCGGUGAAAUGCGCAGAUAUCAGGAAGAACACCCGUGGCGAAGGCGGCUCUCUGGGACGGUACUGACGCUGAGACGCGAAAGCGUGGGGAGCGAACAGG